UAUAAAAUGGCAUCAAUAUAAUGGCGGUUAUAUAAAACCGCCGUUAUUUUCAUAAAGUGAGGCGGUUUAUGCAGCUGCCAUAAUUUGUUUGUAGAAAGUGGUAUUUUUUUGGUGAUUUAGGCGGUUUUAAACGCCAUUACUUGCUCCUGCUUCACUGGUAAAAAGCCUAUUCUAUUUCACUAAUAAAGGCUAUGCUAUUCAAUCGAACCUCCAUCACAAUGUGAGAACCAAGAAGAAACUCCAUCGCAACAUGAGAUCUGCGAUCUCAUCCAUAAUGCUCUCCUCUGGCGGCAAUGUCGUUCUUGCUGCCUUCGAAGGAGCACUCUUCUUUGGUUAGGUUUUCUGGCUUCGAUUUGAGGGUUCGUUGUGCCACCGCUCAUCUCCUUGUCACCAGAAGCAACACCAUUAUUGCUGUCCUCGGUGGAGCUUCUGCUAUCUGGUUUUGUGCAUCUUAGUUGAUCUUAAAUUUUCUUAAUUCUAAUUUGGAUAAGCUUUUAUAGAGCCUUUAUUUUCUUUUUCCCCUUCAAUGGUGGUCCUGAUUGGUUGAAUCUGAGUUUUGUAAGGCUUUCGUCUUAAUAGCUCUCUAAGUAUAAUUCUCUUGGUUAAUUUUUUUUUCCUUCUAGGUAUAAUCUGAGAUCGCACAUCAGAGGGAGAGGGAAAGGAGAACGAGAGUGAGUUCAUCUCAAACCCUAGAGCUUGUCGCCGCCAUCGUCACCGCCAUUCAUCUCAUUUCAGCUGCUUCCAUCAACCUUCUGCGUUCGAGUGAAGGCGCCUCUAUCGACGCGUUUCCAAAUCUGGUCACUACGCCAUAGCUUAUGAGAUUGAGUGAAGCACCUAUUUCAUUAAUGUGUCUCCUCUGCCAACGGCGCCGGUACGUUCUCACUUCUGCAUUCUCUUCUUCUUCAAUCCACUCAACAUUGCUCGUAGUGUGUUUCUGUUCAUUCUCAAUUUCUAUUUGUAUUCUCUUUCUCUUCUUGUUCAUUCUCAGUUGCUUAUUUUCUAACUGUAUUUCAGUUCAGUAUUGUUAUGCUUGCCACGUGGUUGAUGAAUUUUCUGAGAGAGAUGAAAAAGAUUAGAACUUGUUUUCUGUUAUAGAUGAUGAUUCUUUGGUGCUUAUUAUUAUAACUACUGCAUGUUCAUCAUUGUGAAAUUUUGAAAUUUAAAACUAGCUUAGCUUCCAGAAAGGACAUGCUUUCUUUGUUUUCUUUAUAUAGAGUAAUGGUGAAAAGAAAAUUGUUCAUUAUGAGGGGAACAUAUAUUGAACUUAUAAGAGGUUCCUCUUCUAAUUGAUAAGCUAAUUGAUUCAAGUGUUUGUGUCUUCAAAAAUUAAUUUAUAAAAAAGGCUAUUUUGGUAUUUGUUAGUUCAAGCUAAGGACCAGCCUGUGUAAUAUUUUCAUGUUCUUGUUAUGCUUUGGCAUUUUUUGGAGUUGAUGAAAGUGCCAAGAGUGGAGGCAAAAUUAAGAGUGUUCUCUUUCAAGAUUCAGUUUGGGACUCAGGUUUGCUUAUUCUCAAGGUGUUUUGUCUUAAUUUGUUUUCAAUUUGGUUUUUCUUGUUUCACUUCACUUUAUUUUUUUUCCACUUGAUGCAUGCUGAAGACUUCAAGAGGAGUUUAAACACUGUGAACUCUGCCUGUGAAGAGGUACUUGAUAUUUAAUUGAAAUAAAAAGUCACACUUGACAAGAUUAAUUAAAAUAAAAAAACUAAAGCAUUCAUUCCCUACAACAUUUAGAAAAUGUUAAUCAAAUAUCACAAAAGGAAAUUGGAAAAAGUUAAUCCACGUACAACUGUGUGCAUUAGUUGACCAAUGCGCUAAAAUGGUCAUUCAUUCUUUAUUGGGGAAAAAGACAGGACUAAUGACGUAUAUAUAUUUGUACUUUGUACAUAACAGCACCUUAGAUUUGAUUAUUUUUUUUCAUGGAGCUAACUGUUUCUUUCUUUUAAAAUAAAAGAAGAUAUCUUAAAUGUAAAAUCCAAUUCAUUAAUUAGUAAUUACUUUAGAAUAUAUAGUCAUCAAUGAUGAUCAGUUUAUGAAAAUCUAUCUAAUGAAUUAUAUUAGAGAUAUAGCUAUUACAUAAUGUAUUAACUAGUGGCCUUCUUCUUGUCACUAUGUUGAUUAGAAACAUUAAGGUAUGUAUUUUACCUUGCGUAACAAAUUAGUUAUUUUUCUUUGAUAUUUAUACAAACUGAAUUAGUUAUUUAGGAUUAGGAGUUGAAUAAUGUAAAUUUAGAUAUAAUUCGUUUAGACAGUUUUUGUCUUGUGCACAAGUCAUUUUUGAGAUUAGAUAGUAGAUUCACAAACUAAUUUUCUUCUUAGAUACUAGAGAUAGAAAUGUCUUUGCUUAUAACAGUGAACUUCAUUAUUACUUUAUGAACCUGUGUUAUACCGAUCCAUGCUUAUAGGUGAAAUUUAGGACCAUUAUCUAAGUUUAUUAUGAAAACAUCAACAAAUAGAUGAAUUAAAAGGAUAAUGUGAAAAAUUGUAUCUAAUUAUAUAAAGUAGGUUUGGCAAGACCAAAAAAAGAAAUCAUUACUCAAAUUUCCUUUCUAAUGCUUUCUAAUGCUUUUUUUUCGCCUUCUGGCUUGCAGAUGUUACAGUUUUAGUGGUCCUGAUAUGCCAUGCAAACUAAAGAUCUAAUUUUUUGAGAAGAGGGUGUUUUGAAAGAGAGACACAAUUCAAGCUGUGACAAAUUUUGCCAAACGGAAUAAGUUGCCUGUUCUCAUGCAAGAACAGAUGAUUGCACAUUUGCAUAUGAAGUACAGAACUAAUAUAGAAGGGUUACAACAGCAAGAGAUUAUUGAAUUACUCCCGAAAGCUAUUCGUUCAGAAAUGAUAUAGAAGGGUUGCAUAUGAAGUACAGAAUUGAUAUAGAUAUAGUGGUAUUAUUAUUGUGUCUAAUAAUGUUGUUGCAUGAUGCACAAAUUUUAAUGCAGAUGUAUCAGACAGUGAAAAUUAUAGAUAGAGCGGCGGCUUCUUCAAGUUAGUGCAUAGUUUUUAAUUAAUUUACAUUUAAAGACAUAAUGUUUUACAUAAACUCACCAUCAACACGGAGGUCUUAUCUAUCCGUUAACAAUUAGGCCAUUAGCAUAUAUAAAACAUUUAGAAUUUGAGUUCUUUUAUAGGAUACCAAUAUCUUUUUGAAUUAAUAACUACAAUUGAAUCAUAUUUUUUUCAGAUAUCAAUUAUUAAGGACAAAUAAUGAAUUAAUACCACUAAUAUUCUGAAUUGUUAUACAAAAAUACUGAGUUCACGUAUAAGACUAGUCACUAUGGAUUUAUAUGUGAUAAAAAGAUGAGUGGGGAUAUAUGCAGUGUGUAUUAAAUUGUUGGGUUGAUCAUAUGAGAACAAAGAUUGUAUGCUAAUUAAUCCUCUUUAGUUUUCUCAAAGAAAGUAGGAUUUAAACAAAAAUUAAUUCUACAUUUACAGGUACUUGGCAACAUGUAUCAAAGCAAAUUAUUAGAAGUGAUUAGGUGAGCCAUAUAACUCAUGUUUUUGAGAGGCAAGCUGAUGGAAGUGUGCCUGGAAAUAUGGAUAUAUGCAUUUUUUCUUUUCCCAUUUUCCCUUUUUAUAUUGUCAACUGUUAGAUUUUAUAUAUGGAUAUAUGCAUAAUCAUAUUGCUCCUGCAGAUCAAAUCCUUUGAUUUCUUUCACUGGCCACUAUGCUAUAUACAUGGAUAUAUAAACAAGAUUACUGUUUGGCUGUUCUUAAUUCUCAUUUUUUGUUUAAAUUUAUUUUGUAAUGUCCAAGUUAAUGGUUUAUUUAUUUAUUUACUUUUUAUUUUGUUUUUAAAUUAUAUUUUUGUUGUAGGAAUUGGAUCAAGAGAGUGAGAUUCCAUCGCCAAAAGAGUUAGAAAGUAGAUCUUUUGAAGCGAAUAAUAGAGAAUGGUGAUUUUUUUUAUGAUAGAGACUUGAUGUAUUUAGAGUUACAUAUUAAGACUUUUAAUACUUUAUUUGUAUAGGAGUUAUUAUUUUUUAUUUCCAAUACUAAAAAAUUAUAUAUUAUGUUUAAUAUUUUAUUUAUGAGUUAUGUAAUAUUUUGUUGAUGAGU
Arachis duranensis is the source of this 4045-nucleotide long non-coding RNA. RefSeq lists it as uncharacterized. Lineage: Eukaryota; Viridiplantae; Streptophyta; Magnoliopsida; Fabales; Fabaceae. The record is from RefSeq and is a predicted model, not a curated record. The transcript is spliced from 2 exons.